CCUACGGGCGGCAGCAGUGGGGAAUAUUGCGCAAUGGGCGAAAGCCUGACGCCGCGACGCCGCGUGAGGGAUGAAGGUCUUCGGAUCGUUAACCUCUGUUAGCAGGGAAGAACGGUGACUGUGCUAAUCAUCAGUGAAUUGACGGUACCUGCAAAGGAAGCACCGGCUAACUCCGUGCCAGCAGCAGCGGUAAUACGGAGGGUGCGUGCGUUAAUCGGAUUUACUGGGUGUAAAGCGCUCGUAGGCGGUAAGUCAAGGUAGGGGUGAAAUCCCCGCGCUCAACGUGUGAACUGCCUUUGAAACUGGCAGACUGGAGUGUGUGAGAGGAUAGUGGAAUUCCAGGUGUAGGAGUGAAAUGCGUAGAUAUCUGGAAGAACAUCAGUGGCGAAGGCGACUAUCUGGCACAUAACUGACGCUGAGGAGCGAAAGCGUGGGUAGCAAACAGGAUUAGAUACCCGAGUAGUC
RNAcentral lists this ribosomal RNA (465 nucleotides) under uncultured bacterium. Its description in RNAcentral is "partial 16S ribosomal RNA". It matches the Rfam family "Bacterial small subunit ribosomal RNA", at positions 338 to 795 of the family's 1533-position model. The record is from RNAcentral.